CAGCAGCCGCGGUAAUACGUAGGUGGCAAGCGUUGUCCGGAAUUAUUGGGCGUAAAGGGCUCGCAGGCGGUUUCUUAAGUCUGAUGUGAAAGCCCCCGGCUCAACCGGGGAGGGUCAUUGGAAACUGGGAAACUUGAGUGCAGAAGAGGAGAGUGGAAUUCCACGUGUAGCGGUGAAAUGCGCAGAGAUGUGGAGGAACACCAGUGGCGAAGGCGACUCUCUGGUCUGUAACUGACGCUGAGGAGCGAAAGCGUGGGGAGCGAACAGGAUUAGAGACCCCUGUAGUCCCUGUCUCUUAUAC
Molecule: ribosomal RNA, 301 nt
Filed under: uncultured bacterium
Lineage: Bacteria
Description: partial 16S ribosomal RNA
Rfam family: Bacterial small subunit ribosomal RNA
Source: RNAcentral